Molecule: long non-coding RNA, 3392 nt
Organism: Clupea harengus (Atlantic herring)
Lineage: Eukaryota; Metazoa; Chordata; Actinopteri; Clupeiformes; Clupeidae
Source: RefSeq, a predicted model, not a curated record
CAAGAGAGAUGACCAGUCAAACAAGAGUACUUAGGGCUGCAAGCACCCAAAGGAUUACCUACUGAUAAAGCCAAGGCAGGCCAGCAUUUAUGUGUUUCAUCACAGUUCAGUCAUAUAAUUUAGAUUACCUAGUUUAGGUUACACUUUAGGGUGCCCUUGCACUUUAAAGUCAGCCAAACAAAUGUCAAUAUCACAAACACCUAUCUGGCACAGAUCUGCUAGCUGCCGUCUGGGUUGGGAAAUGCAGAAUAAAUCUUGAGAUGAGCUCACUUCUAUAACUUUGAUACAGUUUACCGCCAUGGCUCAAGGCUGAAGUUACUGUUUAGCAUGUUUUGUUUUCAUUACUGUCCAACAUAAUGUGCACCAAGAUCAAAGAGUUUCAAUGGACUGACGAAGAGCAAGGCAAUUCAAAAUGAGGAAAAGUAGGGCACUUCCAGAGGGUGGGAUAAGUUGCCUUUUCUCACAACUUCUUUGAACUAAACAACAACAGAACUAUAGCCUUCUUUUUUGUGGAAGAUGUCAUUUGCAUUUUUUAUUUUUAAUGGUUUACUUUUAAUUGUCUUCGAAAGACACGACACUUAAAUGUCACAUUUAAAAAAAGUUCUUUCAUGACAUGGCAGCAAAUUCUGACAAAUAACUGAAUGACCUGAAACUAAAUUAAUUUCCUGAAAUCAGUUUUUACAUGAUUUAAAAUGAUACUCUUGAAAUGAGUUUGUCACAAGUUUAGGCACGCAAACAAACGGAAUCCCGCCCUUCACAGAACCCCCCCAAAACACACACACACACACACGACCACCACCAGUUGCUAGUACACAUGGUAUAGGCUUCAGUACAUUUCAUUCGAGAUACCAACAGAAAAGGAAGAGGGAAUGCUUAUUUGAGGAAAUGACGAGUUACACCUGCUUGUUGUGUUUUUUUAAGAAAAUGUAUUCUUGUUGGUCAUCUACCCGCUACUGUGUGCACCCUAUUAAAAAGGUAAGAAAGUGGAGAAUUUGUUGAGCUAAGGGUAGUUAUCCAUAGGUUAUCCAUAGCUGUGUUAACUCCUAGCUAGCCUAACUUGACUGAGGGGCUGAAUUCUUUAAAGCGUCGCUUGAGUAAACAAUGCUUAUGAAUUGUGUAACGAUGGCUAAAUUUCACAACCCUAACAAUAACGAGUAGGUGUGGCAUUGAGAAUUUAUCAGGCUUAUCAGGCUCAUCUUAAAGUGUGGGUCAGUUGUAUCUGUGGCUAACGCUAACAUCGACUGGCUAACUAAUCAAGUCAUCGUUUAACUUUCAGCAUUGCUACCUUGAAAGCUAACUUACUUUCCAUAUGAAAACGAACCCGUGGACUGUCCAGGUUUCUAGCUUGUAUUGUCUUGUCAUAGAUUUUUACGUUAGCUUAUGUUAAGUUUCUUCGUUUGGCAUAUAAUUGUGGUUGUAGGAAACAUUAUGUCAGGAAAUUACUGCAGCAAGGAAGACAAAGUUGUCCUUGAGUAACAAGGCCUAACGUUGAAUUUCAGUGUAGUAAGUAGGGAGUGCCCAUGGUAUUUAGAUAAUGAAAAGAGUGAAUGUCUUCACAUAUGUAAAGAAGAUAUAUUAAAGAGGUGCUUCACCCUUAAGUAUGUUUUUUUUUUUUUUUGGAAACUCAAUGAUGUCACUGUACUGUGAUGAACAUGUUGAUGCUGAUAUUGACAUAAUUAAUUCAAAAACAUUGAUAUAAAAGGUGGAUUUUAUGGGUUGAAAAUGACUCAAUGCGUCAUCUACAGUUUAAAAUCAUCCUGAACCUUGCAAGGCAGAAGCUGACAUAAAGGGAACCCCUUGGGACUUGUCUAGGUCAUGAUUAGAACAAUAUUUGAAUGUAGUAAACUCUCAGCCACUUGCCUGCCUUUUAGCAUUUUAGCCUCAGAGCUGAAUGAUAACGAUAGGCCAAACGAUAUGGACUUCAUAGAUACCCAUGCCUUUGCAUUUGCUUUUCAGUCAGAAACCUGAAAAGACUCCAGACAAAGACUAGGAGAAAGAAGCAGCGGAUGCCUGGGAAACGAGGCUGCUGCGCUGAACUCACGCUGGCCGUUGAGCAGCCACUGUCUGCUGCAUACUGAUGUGUGGCGACGAGACUGGGCUUCCACAGACCAGGACAAGCGACACCUCAUUUGUGUACACAGGUGCAGACCAGACUCACUUCUCCUUGGCAUGGAGGAUACCAGUCUUGCACACAUUUCUGGAAAGAUGUUCUGUCAUUCUUCAGAGAUUUCUGUGUCAGUGAUCAGAGGUGUGUUCAGUGUUCGAGUUUCUACUUUGAGGCCUGUAUUUUCAGGUAAGUCUUUCUAAAGUAUUUGUUUUUGAUUGUUCCUAAGAGGAAAUACUGUACUGUGCCAUGCAAAUAUUGAGUGGUGAUACUAUUUUGAUCAUUUAACAUUUUACUGAUAUUGCACAUCAUUUCAGACUAAGACACAGAGACAAAGUAACAUGGAUUCAUAAAUGCCAGUAUGGUAGCAAGGUUCAUUUAAAUUAUUUAACUAUAAUAGUUAGUUGGACUACCUAUUGAAACACUCCACUUUGCAAACUAAAUAUGCCAAAGAAAUUCAAGUCUGUGGAUGAAACAAAUUUGUUUAAUGUCUUGAUACCUCUGAUAUUUAUCUAGCUUUUGAUAGCAAAAUAACACUGAAAAUAUCUAUUUUUUUUAGUUUUCUAAACCUGCAUAUGACAGCCUUUAACUGUCUUUGCACUUCACAGAUUGGAACAUGUUAAGGCUAUUAAGUGAUCCAUCCAUUUGGAAGGAUCUGAAUCUGAAUACUGUUUUGCUACUUUGUUUAGGAAUAGUCAGUUUAUUUCAUUUUAUUAAUUGUUUUUUUAUCUGUAUAACUAUACCACCAUCAAAUGAUUUCAAACAAAUGUCUAACUACAACGGAUCGUAAUCUUUGAUAGAGAUAUGAAUUAAGGGAAAGAUAGAAGUAAAGUAAAUUAUUUAUUAACAACAGCUGAUACACAAUGACAAAUGAUCAAAAUAAUAAUUAAUAAUAUUAUGUCUCUCUGACAAUGUACUACUUGUUCACCAAAGACUUAUCUGUUCACAAAGGACUUACAAACAUCCACGCAACUCGGCCAGCAGACUGUUAAAUAGUUUGAUGACUGUCACAAUAACUAUUACAGCUGAAUAACCUGGCAGAGGCAGUAACUUGAGUGUCAAAUCAUCACACAGUUCUGCUGUCUUAGAAUUAAUCCUGCCCAGAUAGUGCUUCACCUAGACCUAGACGUAAAAACUGGCCCCAUCUCAAAAGAAAAAAGUGAUAAAAGCUAUCUAGAAGCUCAAGAGGAGGACAGCGCCAAGGCCAAACAACAUCCCUCCAGAACCCACAGCAGACAUCAUGGUUUGCCUACUACAAGAUGCCUGGGAAAGAGAAGAAGUACCAUAG